CCGCCUCCCGCCUGGUCUCGGGUCCUAGCGCCGCCGGCGGAGACCAGUAGCAUGGAGGGAGGCCUGGGGCGUGCUGUGUGCUUGCUGACCGGGGCCUCCCGCGGCUUCGGCCGGACGCUGGCCCCGCUCCUGGCCUCGCUGCUGUCGCCCGGCUCCGUGCUUGUUCUUAACGCCCGCAACGACGAGGCACUGCGGCAGCUGGAGGCCGAGCUGGGCGCCGAGCGGUCUGGCCUGCGCGUGGUGCGGGUGCCCGCCGACCUGGGCACCGAGGCCGGCUUGCAGCAGCUGCUCGGAGCCCUGCGCGAGCUCCCCCGGCCCGAGGGGCUGCAGCGACUGCUGCUUAUCAACAACGCGGCGUCCUAAAGGCCUUCCCGGCCAGUCCUGGCCUCAACAGAACCGUGGUUAACAUCUCAUCCCUCUGUGCCCUGCAACCUUUCAAAGGCUGGGCGCUGUACUGUGCAGGAAAGGCUGCUCGUGAUAUGCUGUUCCAGGUCCUGGCGCUGGAGGAACCUAAUGUGAGGGUGCUGAACUAUGCCCCAGGUCCUCUGGACACAGACAUGCAGCAGUUGGCCCGGGAGACCUCCAUGGACCCAGACAUGCGAAAAGGGCUGCAGGAGCUGAAGGCAAAGGGGAAGCUGGUGGAUUGCAAGGUGUCAGCCCAGAAACUGCUGAGCUUACUGCAAAAGGACGAGUUCAAGUCUGGAGCCCACAUGGACUUCUAUGACAAAUAAGCGCAUGUUUUUGGCUUCCUGAACCUUUUUGCCCCCACUUUCAGACAUACCCCAGAGCCCUGUGGCUCCCCACACCCUGCCAUAGGGGCAGUCCUGCCUUACACAUAGAAGCACUCAUGCCUGCUGCCCUGCCCUCAGGCACAGCCAGCUGUGAGCUCCCAGGUCAUUGGCCUUACCAGUUGUCAGGAGUCUGUGCUGUGCACCCUAGGUUAUGAG
Molecule: small RNA, 947 nt
Filed under: Pongo abelii (Sumatran orangutan)
Lineage: Eukaryota; Metazoa; Chordata; Mammalia; Primates; Hominidae
Description: processed transcript
Source: RNAcentral